GAGAGAGAGCGAGAGAGGAAGAGAAUAUAAUCAGACAGGUGAACAGAACAAAGCAAUACACUGGAUUCUGAAGGAUUCAGCAAAAGCUGCCCAGUCACAGAUGAGAGCCACUGAGUAAUUUCUCCAUGGUAGAGGAGAUGCUUCUGGUGUUCCA
Molecule: long non-coding RNA, 154 nt
Organism: Neogale vison (American mink)
Lineage: Eukaryota; Metazoa; Chordata; Mammalia; Carnivora; Mustelidae
Exons: 3
Source: RefSeq, a predicted model, not a curated record